Molecule: long non-coding RNA, 514 nt
Filed under: Mytilus galloprovincialis (Mediterranean mussel)
Lineage: Eukaryota; Metazoa; Mollusca; Bivalvia; Mytilida; Mytilidae
Source: RNAcentral
GGGGGGGGGCACAACCUGUUUGUUGGUCUUUGUGAAAAAAAUAGUACAUUGUCCUUUAAAUGAUUUAAUAGCAUACAAAAAUAUAAUAUGUUACAACAAGUAUUAUGUCAAUAAAUUAGUGGAAAAAAAUACUAUUUAUUAUCUUUAUGGUAGUACAGUCAUGACAGUAGACUCCGGCCAAUCGGAUACCCAAAAUGUCAGCUAAAAAUAUCCGAUUACCCGAUAUAUUCAAUUAGACGAUGAAUGUAUAUUCAUUGAAUAUUCUACAAUAAUAAGUAGAUCUAUUGCUUAAUAUGUGAAAGGGCUGGAGGAUUGAUGGAGUGAUUUUUAUCAGUUACAUCACCACGAUGUUUGCGUAAAAAAUUAUCAGCUGAUUAUGUAAUGAUUAAAUUUGUUUGCACUUGCAGUUUUUAAAUCCUAUAUUUUAUUAAAAUAAAUCAAAUGUCCUGAAAUAUUUAUGUGAAUUAUUAUCUUCCAUCCAUAGUUUGUCUUUACUUGUUUAGUAUAAAACAAA